This 253-nucleotide ribosomal RNA is filed under the name uncultured bacterium. RNAcentral describes it as "partial 16S ribosomal RNA". It matches the Rfam family "Bacterial small subunit ribosomal RNA", at positions 524 to 776 of the family's 1533-position model. The record is from RNAcentral.
GACAGAGGGUGCAAACGUUGUUCGGAAUUACUGGGCGUAAAGCGCGUGUAGGCUGCUUCGCAAGUCGGAUGUGAAAGCCCUGGGCUCAACCCAGGAAGUGCAUUCGAAACUGCAGAGCUGGAGUCCUGGAGAGGAAGGCGGAAUUCUCGGUGUAGAGGUGAAAUGCGCAGAUAUCGGAAGGAACACCUAUGGCGAAGGCAGCUCGCUGGGACGUUACUGACGCUGAGACGCGAAAGCGUGGGGAGCAAACAGG